CGCCCGUCCGGGGCACUCGGGGCUUUCAGGGAGCGGGGCCGGUGCGGAGCGCGAUGGUCCCGGCGGGGCCGCCCCUCUCCUGCCUCCUGCUGACGGCCGCGCUGCUGCCACUGCUGCCGGUACCGGCACCGGGGGCAGCCCCAGGCCCCCCUGCUCUCACCGACGCCGAGAUCGAGGAGUUUCUGCGGGGCUUCCUUGGACCCGGGGACGGCGGGGACCGGGACGGGGACGGUAGUGAGCUGGGCUUCGGCACCGACCUCAGUAUUGGCACCGGCACCGGUCCUCCAGGAUCGCUGACUGAGCCUGAGAAACCCAGGAAGGGGAAGAAGGAAAAACCCCCCAAGAAGCUCAAGGAGAGACCCCGGGGCCCCAAGAAGGAUAAAGACAAGGUCAAGGACAAGAAUCGGGGCAAGAACAAACCCCCCAAGAAAUCGAAGGAGAAGCCACCGAAAGGCUCUGAAAACCCACCAAAAGGCUCUGAAAAACCUCCAAAAGGCUCCAAAAAGCCCAAGGAGAAGCCACCUAAGGCCACUAAACCCUCUGGCAAGAAGCCAUCAGUGCUGCCAAGCCCCCCCACUGAACCCCCCACAAGCCUGCAGCCAUCACAGGGCAAGGAGGAUGAAGAGAAACCUGAGUUCCUGGAGCCUUUGCACAACAAGAAGGAGGAGGAGGAGGAUGGAGGUGUCCAAGCUGAGUUUUGGGGACACCCAUCUUGCCACUAGUGGGUUUGGGGUGGGAGGUCUAACUGGAGCAGAGCAUCACCCCACAUCGUGCUCAGCUGCCUGAGCUCAGCAGCAUCCUACAGCUGGCCAGGGUUUGUCCCCUUGGGUUUCCCCUCUGUCUCCCCGCAUUCCUUCCCAUGGGAUUUUCUUCCCACUAGAGGAAGGGGCUAGAGGAGGCCUGGACAGGGGCCUGGGGAGGCCACACCAGCCCCUCGCUCUGUCUCUGUCCCCAGAAGAGCUAGAAGAGCUGCCAAAUGAGCGCUGGGGACUGGGCCGGGAGGACUGGAACCCUGAGCCCCAGCCAGGUGAGUGCCCAGUCCCCAAGGCACUGUGUCUUGGGGACACUCCUCUGCAGGCCAGGGCCACCCCUCUGCACCCUGGGGCUAUCUCCUUGUGUCUUGGGACCACCUUUCUGUCCCCAAAUAUCACCUUCCUGCACCCCAGUGCCAUGUCCCAUCUCCCCAGGGUCACGCUCCUGCAAUAUGGGCCAUCUCCUUGUUCCCAAAAGCACCCCUGUGUCAGCUUCCUGUGUCCCAGCACCAUCUCCCUGCAUCCCAGUGCCAUCACUUUGCAGGCCAGGACCACCUCCCUCCUCCUUGGUGUAUUUCCUUGCACUCUACUAUACUCUGGACUAAUUCCCUGCUCACAUCCUAUGGGCCCCAAGGCUAUCACACUUACCUCAGGGCCUCUUUCCUAUUCUCAAGUGCCACCUCCCUGUUCCUUGUUGUCCCCUGCCUGCACCCCAGUGCCACUCUGUGCCCCUUCUC
Molecule: long non-coding RNA, 1489 nt
Filed under: Cyanoderma ruficeps (rufous-capped babbler)
Lineage: Eukaryota; Metazoa; Chordata; Aves; Passeriformes; Timaliidae
Description: lncRNA (ENSCRFG00000008172.1)
Source: RNAcentral